This is a long non-coding RNA of Oncorhynchus mykiss (rainbow trout), 382 nucleotides long. RefSeq lists it as uncharacterized. NCBI's taxonomy places the organism in Eukaryota, Metazoa, Chordata, Actinopteri, Salmoniformes, Salmonidae. The record is from RefSeq and is a predicted model, not a curated record.
AACAGAUGAACAGAAACACACUGUGGAGAGCGGGCCGUUUGAACUAUUUUGGGGCAGGUCACUAUUGCCACUAUUUUUAGCCGCAUCUGACUUUCACCAAGCUGUUUCAAGGGAGAGGGACUUUCCUGGGUUUGGUGCCACGGUACCUCAAGCAAUUGCACAUCGGUCUUGAAGGGAUAUUGUCCGAAAGCAACUCCUAUAGUCAACGUGUUGCCCCUGUAUCCCUGCUUUCAGGUGUAUGGCUGUGAUAGUGGAUGGUCGGUCUGUGGCCAUGACUGUCUGUGAGUGACUGCAUUUCUCCACCCCUAUCCCUUGCCUGCUUACAGGAACAAUGAGCGCUUAGGACCUCAGACUGGGGUGAAGGUUCACCUUCCAACUGGAC